CCUACGGGUUGCAGCAGUGGGGAAUAUUGGACAAUGGGGGCAACCCUGAUCCAGCCAUGCCGCGUGUGUGAAGAAGGCCUUUUGGUUGUAAAGCACUUUAAGCAGGGAGGAGAGGCUAAUGGUUAAUACCCAUUAGAUUAGACGUUACAUGCAGAAUAAGCACCGGCUAACUCUGUGCCAGCAGCCGCGGUAAUACAGAGGGUGCGAGCGUUAAUCGGAAUUACUGGGCGUAAAGCGAGUGUAGGUGGCUCAUUAAGUCACAUGUGAAAUCCCCGGGCUCAACCUGGGGACUGCAUGUGAUACUGGUGGUGCUAGAAUAUGUGAGAGGGAAGUAGAAUUCCAGGUGUAGCGGUGGAAUGCGUAGAGAUCUGGAGGAAUACCGAUGGCGAAGGCAGCUUCCUGGCAUAAUAUUGACACUGGGAUCCGAAAGCGUGGGUAGCAAACAGGAUUAGAUACCCCCGUAGUC
RNAcentral lists this ribosomal RNA (466 nucleotides) under uncultured bacterium. RNAcentral describes it as "bacterial SSU rRNA". It matches the Rfam family "Bacterial small subunit ribosomal RNA", at positions 338 to 795 of the family's 1533-position model. The record is from RNAcentral.